CGUGGUUAUUGUGCUUCAGUGGGGCUCUACUCUUCAGCCCAAGAGGAGGCGCUCAACCAGGCCAGGCUAAAUAGACCCCCUCCUCUAUGGCUAUGGUGAUCGAUGUCAGAAAAGAAGGCUGAAUAAGAACUGCAUGGGAUUAGGAGAGGGCUCAAGGUCUCAGCUCCAGGGAUGAAGGCCCCUCUGUCAUCAUCUCAGCGGGAGCCACUAGCGUCUCAGGGAUGAUGAAAUCUUCAGUGAAACCUUAAAGGUCAGAGGUCUGAUGGUACAAGCCACAGAAAGACUACUGAAAACACUGGGAACUACUGAUGAAGAAACUGAACAAAGAACUGGCAUUGGUUAUUGGCGGGUACAACUGUGUAUUGUCUUGCUCUGGAGAACCCCCAAUUUUUCAACUUUCUGUUUGCAUUUGAGAAGCA
Miniopterus natalensis is the source of this 419-nucleotide long non-coding RNA. RefSeq lists it as uncharacterized. NCBI's taxonomy places the organism in Eukaryota, Metazoa, Chordata, Mammalia, Chiroptera, Miniopteridae. The record is from RefSeq and is a predicted model, not a curated record.